Molecule: long non-coding RNA, 1232 nt
Filed under: Lynx canadensis (Canada lynx)
Lineage: Eukaryota; Metazoa; Chordata; Mammalia; Carnivora; Felidae
Description: lncRNA (ENSLCNG00005015637.1)
Source: RNAcentral
GAGGAACGGCCCGUGGGGAGCCAGCCGGGUCCGGCCUCGUCUGGGGAACCCGGCGCAGGGGGAGCGUCGGAGCCUGGGCUACCCCCGCCCUCCGGCCAGAGCGAGCACCAAGCCCCCUCCCCAGACACAGACAAAAGGACCGACAGCGGGCGAACAAGGGAGAGAGCGGGGAGCCCCUGCAUCCUCAGCCUAGCCCCGGAGGAAAGGAGACGGGGGUCUUUUUACCCGGAGCCUCGGCGCACCGCGGCGCGCCGCGUCCCUGGGCCCCGCCUCCGGACAGACGGACCGCCGGACAAUGGGCCCCGGGCCGCAGCUCGGGCCGGCUGGGCCGGGGCUCUCCGGGACUGAGCCCCGGCAGGCGGAGGGCGGUUUCGGGCCGAGCCGGUGGCGGGGAGCCGAGGGGCGGCGCUGCAGACGGACAAAGCCAACGGCAGACAGACAGACGGAGGGGGAAAAGAUGGCGACGCGGGCGGCGGGAGCGCGCUGCUCGCGCACCCGCAAACGCCUAAGCUUGCCUCUGACAGAGCUUACUUGAAGUAGGGAAUGCGGUGAAAAGCAGAUGGGAUCUGGUAAGAGCAGAUCUAGCCUGGAGUCCCAGCUCUGCCACUGACCAGCCUGGUGGCUUUGGACAAGUCCCUAUUCUGAACCUCUGCUUCCUGAAAUGUAAAAUGGAUAAUAAGGUAAUAAUUCCUAACCUCUAUUCUCAUAGGGUUGUUGUAAUCAUAGGAUUAAGUAAAAUGAAGAUAUGAAAGUAUUGUGUAAGUAGUUCUUGUGCUUCCUGGCCCCAGGAAGGCAGCAGAGCUAAUGUUUUUAAAGCAACAAGGCCUGGUAUUUGCAUAAAGGACUCUUGCAAAAUGUUCUUCCCAUAAAUCUCCAGUGAGAUGAUAUCAUUGUCUGCAUCUUGUGUUUAAUGUGAGAGAAUGGCUGUAUUGAAAGAACUUCGUACUUCACAAGUGUGUAGUAAAUAGUUUCAUUCAUUCAUUUAUUGUGGCUGGGAUAUUUAAGUAGAAAUUAUUCUUUAAUUUCAUUUAAGGAGACAUUUUAAUUCCUAAGUAGCCAGAAAAUGGAAUAUUCUCAUCUAACCAGAAGGUUUUUAGACAGUUUCAUAUCAGAAUGCAAGCUGAAGGAAUGCCUGGGUGGCUCAGUUGGUCAAGCAUCUGACUCCUGAUUUCAGCUCAGGUCAUGAUCUCACACCGUUCAUGAGUUCAAGCCCUGCAUUGGACUCUGAGCUG